This is a non-coding RNA of Paramuricea clavata, 85 nucleotides long. NCBI's taxonomy places the organism in Eukaryota, Metazoa, Cnidaria, Anthozoa, Malacalcyonacea, Plexauridae. The record is from the annotation of a GenBank genome assembly.
CCCCCCGGGGGGCGAAAAUGUAGGGGGGGCGAAAAUGGAUUUUCGCCCCCCCUACACUUUCGCCCCCCGGGGGGCGAAAUUCCUA